AUCAGGGACCCCCUUCCCCCAAUCACUUAGUUCAUGCUCUCUUCUCUCUGCUGCCAUCGGGAAGGUGGUACGGGAGCAUCAGGUUCAGGAACAGUUAUUACCCUCAACCAUCAGGCUCUUGAACCAGGGGUUGGGUGUUUGAUGUUUCCUUUGAACAGGUUCCACGGUGUUUCUCGUUUCGUGGCUAUCUGCAGUAGGAGGUGACGGGACGUGAGUUACCCCUAUUAACUGUGCUUUCGAAAAGAGAGAGAGAGAGUUAUUUACCACCGAUACCUUGUUUUGAAAAGAGAGAGAGAGAUGAAGACUAACUGUUGGACUGUCACUUUAAGGCAUGAGAAAGAACUGGUCAACUUUUGGAUUUCUGCUGAGUUGGAGAGAGAUGGCACCGGGCAGCUUGUAAGUUGCUAUGGUGACCAAAGCCAGGUUGUUGACACUUCUCAAGGACAGUUCGCCUGCUUGUGCAUUUCUUCACAGAGAGAGGAGGGAGGAGUUAUUUGAAUAACAAUUGAUGCUCAGCACGGGAAGAUAAAAUAGGAGGUCAGAUGAUACAGACCUCAGACACACGUUCUGGACACUGAAUGAGCAUUGCUGUGCCCGCAGAAAAAGUGGGUUUUGGAGGAUCGAUCAGGCGGAUCGAUCCAUUGCUCUUGCAGUGGAAAGAAGGAAAAGGAGUUGACUGGUGGGGAGUUGUCCAUGUGUCCACCCUCGCCUGGGGGACAGCUCCACCACAGAAAACUGGUCCCCCUUGUUACAGUCACAGUCGAUGACUUUUAAAGGGUUUCGAAGGACAAUGAGAAGAUUGACGGCGUCAGCUCACCUGAAGACUCAAAUCUCUCCCCCCUCUCUCUCCAUCACUACUCAACUCAAUACCACGAACUGAACUGAACUUUACUCAUCAUCGUAAGACUGUAUCUAUUUACCCCUAGACUUGAAGCUUGGUUUUUCAUACAUAUAUAUUCCACACUUACUUUUAUGUAAUAAUUGCUAACCUGUUUGAUUUAUCUACAUUUAUAUUACUGUAUUGCGCAGUUACUAAUAAAUAUUAGUAGUUUAUAGCAAUACUGGGCUCCAAAGUGUUUUCCAUCUCUGCUGUUUCUUUAUUCCUGUCACAGGGUUCGUGACACUUAUAUAUACGUGCCCUGUGUGCCUUGUGCUAUGUAUGACAGUGGGUACACUGUUUUGCAGCUUGGCCCCAGAAUAACACUGUUUCAUUUGGCUGUAUUCAGGGGUAUUCAUGUGUGGUUGA
Mobula hypostoma (lesser devil ray) is the source of this 1246-nucleotide long non-coding RNA. RefSeq lists it as uncharacterized. The record is from RefSeq and is a predicted model, not a curated record. The transcript is spliced from 3 exons. NCBI's taxonomy places the organism in Eukaryota, Metazoa, Chordata, Chondrichthyes, Myliobatiformes, Myliobatidae.